CAGUUCGGACUGUAGGCUGCAACUCGCCUACACGAAGCUGGAAUCGCUAGUAAUCGCGGAUCAGCACGCCGCGGUGAAUACGUUCCCGGGCCUUGUACACACCGCCCGUCACACCAUGGGAGUCGGGAAUGCCCGAAGUCAGUGACCCAACCUAUAGGAGGGAGCUGCCGAAGGCAGGUCUGAUAACUGGGGUGAAGUCGUAACAAGGUAGC
RNAcentral lists this ribosomal RNA (212 nucleotides) under uncultured bacterium. Its description in RNAcentral is "partial 16S ribosomal RNA". It matches the Rfam family "Bacterial small subunit ribosomal RNA", at positions 1289 to 1500 of the family's 1533-position model. The record is from RNAcentral.